Molecule: ribosomal RNA, 253 nt
Filed under: uncultured bacterium
Lineage: Bacteria
Description: partial 16S ribosomal RNA
Rfam family: Bacterial small subunit ribosomal RNA
Source: RNAcentral
UACGAAGGGUGCUAGCGUUGUUCGGAAUGACUGGGCGUAAAGGGUGUGUAGGCGGUUAUACGCGUCAGAUGUGAAAUCCCUGGGCUUAACCUGGGAAUGGCAUUUGAUACGGUAUGACUAGAGAUUGGUAGAGGGUAGUGGAAUUGCGAGUGUAGAGGUGAAAUUCGUAGAGAUUCGCAGGAACAUCGGUGGCGAAGGCGGCUACCUGGGCCAACACUGACGCUGAGGCACGAAAGCGUGGGGAGCAAACAGG